CGCCGAUGAUAGUGCUCCCUUGGGAGUGUGAAAGUAGGACACCGCCAGAC
This 50-nucleotide ribosomal RNA is filed under the name Gulbenkiania mobilis. The record is from RNAcentral. Lineage: Bacteria; Pseudomonadati; Pseudomonadota; Betaproteobacteria; Neisseriales; Chromobacteriaceae.